CGUACUACCAACCUUCCCAUGACCACGGGAUAACCGUUGAAAGACGGCCUAAUACCGUAUGACGUCGUUUGCCGACAUCGAAAGACGACCAAAGGUUUGGCGGUGAUGGAUGGGGAUGCGUCUGAUUAGCUUGUUGGCGGGGUAACGGCCCACCAANGGCUACGAUCAGUAGGGGGUUCUGAGAGGAAGGUCCCCCCACAUUGGAACUGAGACACGGUCCAAACUCCUACGGGAGGCAGCAGGC
RNAcentral lists this ribosomal RNA (244 nucleotides) under uncultured Prevotella sp. RNAcentral describes it as "partial 16S ribosomal RNA". It matches the Rfam family "Bacterial small subunit ribosomal RNA", at positions 116 to 354 of the family's 1533-position model. The record is from RNAcentral. Lineage: Bacteria; Pseudomonadati; Bacteroidota; Bacteroidia; Bacteroidales; Prevotellaceae.